AUGCACGCUGGCGGCGUGCCUAAUACAUGCAAGUCGAGCGAACGGACGAGAAGCUUGCUUCUCUGAUGUUAGCGGCGGACGGGUGAGUAACACGUGGAUAACCUACCUAUAGGACUGGGAUAACUUCGGGAAACCGGAGCUAAUACCGGAUAAUAUUUUGAACCGCAUGGUUCAAAAGUGAAAGACGGUCUUGCUGUCACUUAUAGAUGGAUCCGCGCUGCAUUAGCUAGUUGGUAAGGUAACGGCUUACCAAGGCAACGAUGCAUAGCCGACCUGAGAGGGUGAUCGGCCACACUGGAACUGAGACACGGUCCAGACUCCUACGGGAGGCAGCAGUAGGGAAUCUUCCGCAAUGGGCGAAAGCCUGACGGAGCAACGCCGCGUGAGUGAUGAAGGUCUUCGGAUCGUAAAACUCUGUUAUUAGGGAAGAACAUAUGUGUAAGUAACUGUGCACAUCUUGACGGUACCUAAUCAGAAAGCCACGGCUAACUACGUG
Molecule: ribosomal RNA, 496 nt
Filed under: uncultured bacterium
Lineage: Bacteria
Description: partial 16S ribosomal RNA
Rfam family: Bacterial small subunit ribosomal RNA
Source: RNAcentral